Molecule: ribosomal RNA, 460 nt
Filed under: uncultured bacterium
Lineage: Bacteria
Description: partial 16S ribosomal RNA
Rfam family: Bacterial small subunit ribosomal RNA
Source: RNAcentral
CCUACGGGAGGCAGCAGUGAGGAAUAUUGGUCAAUGGACGCAAGUCUGAACCAGCCAUGCAGCGUGCAGGAUGACGGCUCUAUGAGUUGUAAACUGCUUUUGUACGGGGGUAAACCCCAAUAUGUAUAUCGCUUUGCAAGUAUCGUAUGAAUAUGGAUCGGCUAACUCCGUGCCAGCAGCCGCGGUAAUACGGAGGAUCCGAGCGUUAUCCGGAUUUAUUGGGUUUAAAGGGUGCGUAGGCGGGUUGUUAAGUUAGAGGUGAAAUGUCGGGGCUCAACCCUGAAACUGCCGCUAAUACUGUCGGACGAGAGUAUAGUAGAGGUAGGCGGAAUGUAUGGUGUAGCGGUGAAAUGCUUAGAGAUCAUACAGAACACCGAUUGCGAAGGCAGCCUACUAAACUAUAUCUGACGCUGAGGCACGAAAGUGUGGGUAGCAAACAGGAUUAGAUACCCUGGUAGUC